UUAGCUCAGCAAAAUGCAUAAUUAUCUCAGCUCCAAAUAUCAUCAUCUUCCUCAUUUGAAGCUUCUAAGUAACAAAUUUUCAAUUAGCCAUAACUCCUUCGUUUUAAGUCCGAUUGAUGCGAUUUUUAUGGCCACGGAACGAGCGUGAGAUUCUCUACUCAUCAAGCCCAGAAAAUCAAGACAAACCGAGAGGCGACGGGAUCGACGGUUUUGGCCUAGGAGUAUUCGGCCAAGACUAGUGCGUAUAAAUGAUUUGGAUUGGAAAGCAAGGAGUACCUAGACUUGGAGUGACUAGAAGUCCAUCAUUUUUUCGGGAGUCUGUCUUGCCAUGUACAGACCGGCUUCCGUGACCGUGACCGCUGCAGUAGUACAUUGUGUGACCAGUCAUGACCUAGGACAAUAUUAUAGUUUUGGAAAAUGUUUAUAACGAUGUUAGAUUUACGUAGCCAGUGUUUACAAAAUAACUAUUAAUGUUUUCAUAAUUAAAUGCUUCCGUGUUAUAACAUAAUUGCGAAAAAUUUAUAGUGAAUUUCAGGCUUGCUACGGGAUUCGGAACUACAAUUCCCAUUCCCUAGCGCCGGUCGCGGCCCUCGAUUUUGGGUCGUGACAGUUUCCGCAGGUGUUGGUUAGUUUAAAUUACAGCCGUUAUAUUGCCGAAAUUUUGAAAACGCUCAAUUAAAGUUUUAUAAAGAUUUUUAAAACGCGAAAAAGAAAUUGCUAAAUUUAGGCUUGCUACGGGUUUCGGAAACGAAAAUUCCCAUUCCCUAGCGCCGGUCUCGGCUCGAGAUUUCGGGUCGUGACAAAUGUGGUAUCAGAGCCAGGUUGGUCCAGGAUACCACUGCUUUGUGUGAGUCUACCUAGGAAACUACUGCAGCACAUAGGAUUCGAGUCAUGUCUUUUUCAUGUUGUCUUCUGUUCUCUAUAGUUUCAACCUUCCUAUUUAGGAUAUAAGCCGCGAUUAUCGUGCGAUACUGCGUGCGAAUUAAAUAAUUAGUAUUUAUGCGACUUGGUGACUAGGCUUAGGUAGGAAGUAAUGUAUAGUGUGGGGAUGUUAUGAUAAGCAUACGAUAUAAGCGUUUAAGGAUGACUGAUAGAAAGGUGUAGAUUUAAAGAGGCGGAAGAACUUACCAAGUUACAGAGUUAAAGUCUGGAGAACUUACAAAGUUAAAAGUUUAUGAAUUAAAGUUAAUUGUUUAAACGAUUUUAAAAGCAUAAUUGUGCCUAGUCCCGAGAUAGAAAUGCAUUAUUGCCACGACAUGAAUAGAACUGCAUCACUACAUACACAUUAAAUGGAAAGAAUAAUAAAUGAGUUCAUACAUUAGUAGGACAUGCAUCAUGCUCAUUUGGCAUAGACAAGAGGUAAGUUGUGGCAACUCUUUGGGGAUGAGAGACGUCAUCACCCUAGAGCACAAUUAUGCUGAUCUUUAAAGGAUUUAAAUAUGAUUUUUAAAAAGGGUCAUUUUCUUUGAAUUGCAAAGAUAAUUGAAUUAUUUUUAAAGAGAUUUGUUUUAAAACGUAAGUAUACCUAGACCGGAACUCUGUAACGAAGGUAAAAUGCUCGAGGUUAGGUUACAAGCAACUCUAAAAGGCACGACAAACGUGUAUUAAAACACAAAAUGAAGAAUUGUGUUUUGAAUAUACAACGUUGGUAGUAGUUCAACGAACUAUAGUGUGAGUAGAAUAGUAAGGCGUAUCUGAGAACAAAAUGAAAGUUGUAGACGGCCUUGCAUAGAACGAGUUUCAAGUGACAAACUAAAAUUUGGACAGAUUCUGGACGUUGGUUUUGUGGCCUGAAGUGGGCUAAAAACCUAAAUUUUUUUACGAAGUAGAGAAAAAAAAUGAUUUUUUAGUUAGUUUGGAAAACUAACUACGUAAUACAUGGAUAACGUAAUACAAAAUAAGUAUAAGUUAGAAAAUCGUAGAAUAAAAUAUCCUAUGAGAUUAUGCCUUAAGGAGAUGGCGGAAGUAGUGAGCACUACCAAUAUUAAAAUAAUUGGAUGGUAAGCAUUAUAAGAAAAUUCGAGGACGAAUUUUUUUAAGGGGGGAAGAAUGUAAUGCCCCGCAUUUUUGGAGAAAUGUUUAAUUGGAUUAAACAUAUUAUUUUAGCUAAAGGGAGCUAAAAUAAGGAAAAAUAGCCCGUAUAAUUUUUAUCAUUGGAAAAUUCGGAUUUAAGCCCGGAAUUAUUAUCGACGUGCUUAAGUAAUAAAUUAAUUUAAUAAAUUAAUAAGCAAAAGAAAAAAAAAUAUAAAAUAUAGUGUAGAGACAUAUUAAAUAGUAGGCCUAAUUAACAACAAUACAAGUCCAAACAAAUAGUAAAAGAGAAAACUCAAAGUCCAAGCCCAAUUUCUUUCAUUAUUAAUAAUUAAAAUAGAGAUAUUAAUAAGGAUAAUAGAAACAAAGGAGAAAAAGAAGGAGAUUUCCAGAAUUUUCCUCUUCUUCUUCUCUAAACCAUUUCUCAUCCCAAAACUUCCAUUUUCCACCAAAAUCAUGAAGGAAUCUUGGAUAUUUUGAGGAUUAAGCUAAGAUUCUAUCUAUAGCAACAAUAAUCAAGAUAUUGAGCGACUUUGGCUUGGAGAAGUAGUGGACUAAGGAAAUAGCAACGGGCAAGAUAAUUUGAUUAUUGAAACAAAAUUGGAUUUAAGCGAUCGAGGUACUCAGUAGAUCAAGGUUGACCCGAGCUUCCAUUCUUGAUCCGGAAAGCUCGCUCUUUUGACAUGUACAGUUUCUGUCUUUUGCUCUAGCGCUGCAGUAGAUAGUCAGGCUAGUUUAUUUUUGUCGAGGUCUAUAGCGGUAUGGUUGUAUUUUGGGUUAUCACCGCUUUUUGUCAAUAGUUUUUGAUAGGUCUCGUUUCUGGUAAUAAACAAUUAUCAGAGGUAGUUUUAGAUUAACUGUUUAACUUACAAAUGAUGAUUGAUGAUAUUUAUAUAAUGGCUGUCAAGUUGUAUA
Mercurialis annua (annual mercury) is the source of this 2946-nucleotide long non-coding RNA. RefSeq lists it as uncharacterized. The record is from RefSeq and is a predicted model, not a curated record. The transcript is spliced from 5 exons. NCBI's taxonomy places the organism in Eukaryota, Viridiplantae, Streptophyta, Magnoliopsida, Malpighiales, Euphorbiaceae.